AAAAGAUUGAUAUUGUUAUAUGUGAUGAAGUGCAACACGGUGGAUUCUUACCGACGUUUCAAAAUGCUUUGUAGUCGAGACUGGUUCUGAGAAGAAAUGCUAACAAAUCCUUGCUGGAUACAGAUCAGGGGGCUAUUGAAAAUCUGCAAAAGGCUAAGUCAUAAAGUCCCUCAGUUCAAGAAGACGACUCGUACCUGGGAAUGGCUCUGGACUAAUUACAAAAAAACUGUUUAAAAUCACUGCAGAAAGCAGAGACAACAAGAGUUUUGCCAAAAGGAAGAAGGGCUGUUGAUCACUUGUGUGGUAGAGAGAAACACCCAGAAUCAGUCUGGACAGGAUGGAGUUUUAGUCUGGACAGGAUGGAGUUUUAGACUGGACAGGAUGGAGUUUUAGUCUGGACAGGAUGGAGCUUCAGUCUGGACAGGAUGGAGCUUCAGUCUGGACAGGAUGGAGUUUCAGUCUGGACAGGAUGGAGCUUCAGUCUGGACAGGAUGGAGUUUUAGUCUGGACAGGAUGGAGCCUAACUGUGGAAAAACAGAAACUGACUGAUACACACAUUACAAUGACAAAUCAAUGACCAGAUUGGCAACCAGCUCCAGCUACUCAGCAUCACUCUGACUAUUUGUGCUGGUUGGCUUCUGUCUCAGCUGAAGGGAGGACAUUGUGUUUUAAAGUCUUUUCUUUCUGUCCUGAAGUAGGCCUACCUGCUUAAUACACACAGACUUUCAUAUAGGUAAAGCAAAGGCAUGCUAUGACUUAACUCUACCUUCAUAUAUUGGGCUGCCUUUAUCCCAAUAGUUUCACAGUUUAAAAACGUGUCUUUUCAAAUGACUGUAUGCUACAUUGAUCUUUGGAUCACACUUGGAAUGUGAAAGGUUUCCUAGUGUCAGUUUUAGGUCUCCCUGAAGUCCGUAGACUUCCAUUCUAUUAGUCACCCUAGAACACAGUCAUCGAGCCUAACGGAGAUGUGUAUUCAUUAGGGAUAUACUGUAGCUAAAUGUUUAAUGGAGGGCUACGCUAGCGUUUCUUGGACCAAUUCAGAAAUUGGUACACAAGGAGGAGUAGCACUAGUCUUUUUAGGAUUAAGUGAAAAUAGGGAGACAAUGUAUUUGUAUUAAGGGUUUAGUCUUUGAAUGGUGGAUUUGUGCAGAUUCCCUUGGCCUUCCUUCCUGUUUAACUCUUGAUGUCUGGUCUUGCUGUAGAGACUGAACACAGCAGGAUUAUUGCUAGACUUUUUUUGUUUUCUUAACUAUUUUACGACGUAUUCAUUGACGAAACGAACUCCACUACAAAUACAAGCCUCUAUAGAAGAACCUCUGAUCCUUUUUUAGUUAGGAAUAAAAAGACAAAGAUGUUUUAUUUUCUAAGAGUAUGUAGUAGUAGCAUUAGUGAAAUAACCUACUAUGAUGGAUCAUAUUUUAAAUUUUUUAUCAGUGGGCUAUUUUGUUUUUUUUGUUUUUUUUGUGGAAAGAUUUAGAGACUGUAUCCAGACCUGCCUUACUGUUACCAAUAUGUUCCUUUUUUUGUGGAAAGAUUUAGAGACUGUAUCCAGACCUGCCUUACUGUUACCAAUAUGUUCCUUUUUUGUGGAAAGAUUUAGAGACUGUAUCCAGACCUGUCUUACUGUUACCCACAUGUUCCUUUUUUUGUGGAAAGAUUUAGAGACUGUAUCCAGACCUGCCUUACUGUUACCAAUAUGUUCCUUUUUUUGUGGAAAGAUUUAGAGACUGUAUCCAGACCUGUCUUACUGUUACCAAUAUGUUCCUUUUUUUGUGGAAAGAUUUAGAGACUGUAUCCAGACCUGCCUUACUGUUACCAAUAUGUUCCUUUUUUUGUGGAAAGAUUUAGAGACUGUAUCCAGACCUGCCUUACUCUUACCAAUAUGUUCCUUUUUUUGUGGAAAGAUUUAGAGACUGUACCCAGACCUGUCUUACUCUUACCAAUAUGUUCCUUUUUUUGUGGAAAGAUUUAGAGACUGUACCCAGACCUGUCUUACUCUUACCAAUAUGUUCCUUUUUUUGUGGAAAGAUUUAGAGACUGUAUCCAGACCUGCCUUACUCUUACCAAUAUGUUCAUUUUUUGAACAGGGAGUUAUUCUACCGUAAACUAAGAUUAUUUUUAUGUAUUUAUUUUUAUUUUUUAAAGGAUACUUCCUCUGACAUUCUUAGAGCUGUCAUUUUAUUGUGAGGAACUGCAGUUCGAUCGGAAUAGUUGUUCUGUUUUUGUCCUCUGUUUUGUGAGUGACCCUCUCACUCAGUCAACUCGUCUCAGUGCACAAGUCUCCCCUUCUCCAGACACCACGUAUGAAUCAGAAUCCGUAGCUAGUUGUGACACGUGAGCCUCUGGAUGAAAAGCAGAGUAUCCCUAAAGCAGUGUGGUCGUAUCAGCCCCCCCAUGUUGGACUAAACUCUACACAAGUGAAAACCCCAAAUCCCUAAAGAUCCUCUAUUUGCCAAACUAGAGGGACAUGAAGUCUGACUCCUUCCUCAACAUGUGGACCUGCCCUGAGGAUGUUGGACACCACUGUUACACCUUCAGCCUUGUUGAUUUCCUGUCAGACUGGUUGUUUUUCAACUCCAUUCCACGGACGGACUGACCUGAAAUUUUACCAGAACAGGAACACAAUGUUCAACAGACUCUACUCAGACUGGUCGUCUUUGAACUCAAGAGGAACACAAUGUUCAUCAGACUCUACUCAGACUGGUCGUCUUUGAACUCAAGAGGAACACAAUGUUCAUCAGACUCUACUCAGACUGGUCGUCUUUGAACUCAAGAG
Molecule: non-coding RNA, 2776 nt
Organism: Oncorhynchus mykiss (rainbow trout)
Lineage: Eukaryota; Metazoa; Chordata; Actinopteri; Salmoniformes; Salmonidae
Source: RefSeq, a predicted model, not a curated record